AAACGGCGGCCGUAACUAUAACGGUCCUAAGGUAGCGAAAUUCCUUGUCGGUUAAAUACCGACCUGCAUGAAUGGCGUAACGAGAUGGGAGCUGUCUCAACCAGAGAUUCAGUGAAAUUGUAGUGGAGGUGAAAAUUCCUCCUACCCGCGGCAAGACGGAGAGACCCCGUGGACCUUUACU
RNAcentral lists this ribosomal RNA (181 nucleotides) under Helicobacter pylori. RNAcentral describes it as "partial 23S ribosomal RNA". It matches the Rfam family "Bacterial large subunit ribosomal RNA", at positions 1925 to 2105 of the family's 2925-position model. Lineage: Bacteria; Pseudomonadati; Campylobacterota; Epsilonproteobacteria; Campylobacterales; Helicobacteraceae. The record is from RNAcentral.